ACUUUUUAAUGAAAAAGGUAUAAUACGUCAUUUAAAUUCAUUCUGGGAAUACCCGAAGGUGCUAUAAUCAUAACAAACACGCAGGUGCGAUUCUUACCUGUACACGCAACGCAUCCACACCCUGGUGGCAAACGUUGUAACCCUCAGUCAACAAUAAUGGCGAUUUAAGUGAAAAGUGAGUGAAAAUAAAAAUUGUUUUUCUAAUGUUAUUUUCAAUUUGCACAAGAAAAUUCAUAGUGUACGGUCAUCAGGGCACUCAGAGGAAUCGUUUGGCGUAAGUUUCAGCUUGAAAAUCCAGAAGUAGUUAAUCAAAGUUUUAUCUGAGUUAAUAUUCUGUGGUGUGUAAUCAAUCGUAAAGUGUCGUCCAAAACUUAAAAUUUCGGAAAAGCAAAAAUUUGAGGGAAACAUCUCGAAAAUGAGGUUAGUUGUCAAAAGUGUUUAAAAUUCAACAAUAAUCUAUGGCAAGCGGUUAAAAACUGAUGAUAAAGAGUGUGUAAAGUGUAUUUUUUCAAAUACAGUUUGUGUUUUUGUGAAUCGAUCAAAUGGUUAUCGCGAAUAUCUCCAAAAAUGCGGUUGAGUGUCAAAUAUUGUUUUCAAAUAAAUUGUAAAAAAUUGGUGGAAAUAAGAAACCAGGAGUGAUUCAAAACGGAUAAAGUGGAUAUUUAAACUUUUUUAUUUACAUUUUUUCAAGUGUCGUUAUUUUAAAUGCAUUCCCGUUAUGCAAGUGUUUUAAAAUUUGCAAAGUGAAAGUGUCUGAUAAGUUUGUGUUACAUUUUUUAAGAGCCGCUUAAAUUUUCGUAAAGUUGUCUAGAAUCUGUGAUUACUAAAUCCAUGAAAAAAUUUAAGAAAAAAUAGUGAAAAUCCAAUUUAAUUCGGUUGUGAAAAUGUAAAAAUUAAAUGUGAUGUUUGGUGCAUUGACGCGUUUUUUUCCGAAGAACAGUUCUCCCAGGAAAUUGCAGCAUCAACGAGUCAAGGUAUUUGGGGUCAACAGUGUCAUCGAUAGUCCCCGAACAAUUUCAAAGACAAUUAGUAGAAAUACAGAAUAAAUCAACCACGAGUGAUUGGAAAGUGGGGGAUGGUCAAGAAUCACGGAAAUUUGACACUGGAAAAGGGCAUUUACUGGGUGGUAAAUCUGGGGGUGUUUGAGACUCAAGAAUCCCUUAAUAGAUCAAUUUGACGAGAAAAUCUCGAAAUUUAGGGCAGCUGUAAAAUUUGGUGCCUUUCGAAAAUUACGCAGAAAAAGAAGACUACAACCAGGGUUGAGGAGGUACCAACAGAUUCAAAAGGAACAAAGGAACAUUAAAUUAAAUUCAAUUAACCACAGACGAGGUGUUCCAGUGUUGCUAAGCAACGAAAUGACACGAAGAAAGUAGAGUUCCUUUAUUGGGAGAGUUGGGACACUGAACGUCAAACC
This is a long non-coding RNA of Tribolium castaneum (red flour beetle), 1414 nucleotides long. RefSeq lists it as uncharacterized. The record is from RefSeq and is a predicted model, not a curated record. The transcript has 3 exons. Lineage: Eukaryota; Metazoa; Arthropoda; Insecta; Coleoptera; Tenebrionidae.